This 253-nucleotide ribosomal RNA is filed under the name uncultured bacterium. RNAcentral describes it as "partial 16S ribosomal RNA". It matches the Rfam family "Bacterial small subunit ribosomal RNA", at positions 524 to 776 of the family's 1533-position model. The record is from RNAcentral.
UACGAAGGGGGCUAGCGUUGCUCGGAGUUACUGGGCGUAAAGGGCGUGUAGGCGGUUUGUUAAGUCUGGCGUGAAAGCUCUCGGCUAAACCGGGAGAGGUCGUUGGAUACUGGCGAACUAGAGGAUGGUAGAGGCGUGUGGAAUUCCGGGUGUAGUGGUGAAAUGCGUAGAGAUCCGGAGGAACACCAGUGGCGAAGGCGACACGCUGGGCCAUACCUGACGCUAAAGCGCGACAGCAUGGGGAGCAAACGGG